This is a ribosomal RNA of Gorilla gorilla gorilla (western lowland gorilla), 113 nucleotides long. The record is from Ensembl. NCBI's taxonomy places the organism in Eukaryota, Metazoa, Chordata, Mammalia, Primates, Hominidae.
GCCCAUGACCAUGCCACCCUGAAUGUGCCUGAUCUUGUUUGAUCUCAGAAACUAAGCAAGGCCAGGCCUGUUAGUACUUAGAUGGUCUAAGAGAGGCAAGAUUCUUUUUGUUU